This is a long non-coding RNA of Onychostoma macrolepis, 678 nucleotides long. RefSeq lists it as uncharacterized. The record is from RefSeq and is a predicted model, not a curated record. The transcript has 3 exons. Lineage: Eukaryota; Metazoa; Chordata; Actinopteri; Cypriniformes; Cyprinidae.
CCACCUAUAAAGACGUUGUUUUUUAAUUAUUAUAAUUUGUUGUUGUUGUUGUUGUUGAGCUGUAUAUUCAUCCAAAGCUAGAGAGCGCGCUGCAGCUUGCGUGUUGCGUGUGCUGUAUGUCACUUCCGACACAGAUGCGCACAGGUUACGUUCUUCGCAGAACCCUGAUCGUGUGUUAAAGUAGCCUACAGCAUGACAACGAGCGCUGUUCAUCCAUUGGCCUCUGCAUCAUCCCAACUGACGAUCAUGUCAGUGUUCGUGGAGAGCUUGCAGGUUUGCUCACACCACCAUCUAAACUACAGCUGGAUUGUUCUCCAGCUAUGACUGGACGUCCUGUGAUCCCCAUGGAGCACUGCCUGGCUGUUGUGGAAAUGCCUUGAGUCUGCCCCAAGGAUGCUGGUUACUGUUUGUUGAGGCUUCUUCACCAUUUGCUGGUGUUUGCACACAAUUAUUGGUUCACUAAUAUUGCACUAAGCGUGCACAUUUUACAUGUGGUAUUUGGGGCCACAGCCCUGAAAAGUCUGCGUCUCUGGUGAUCAUCCCCAGCCUUCUUAUUCAGUUUUAUUAACAUUAUUUAUCUGUCUAGUGUUACAUAUUUUAAUCAAUUAAGGGUAGCUACUGUAUUGUGGUUUGUAAUUUGUUUUACUACCUUGAUUAUUGCACAUGGUCUACUGUGAC